This is a non-coding RNA of Omnitrophica WOR_2 bacterium SM23_72, 72 nucleotides long. Lineage: Bacteria; Pseudomonadati; Candidatus Omnitrophota. The record is from Rfam.
GCGCCUGUGGCCCAAUGGAUAGGGCAAUGGCCUCCGGAGCCAUGUGUGCAGGUUCGAUUCCCGCCAGGCGCA